UACGGGGGGGGCAAGCGUUGUUCGGAAUUACUGGGCGUAAAGGGCUCGUAGGCGGCCAACUAAGUCAGACGUGAAAUCCCCAGGCUUAACCUGGGAACUGCGUCUGAUACUGGAUGGCUUGAAUCCGGGAGAGGGAUGCGGAAUUCCAGGUGUAGCGGUGAAAUGCGUAGAUAUCUGGAGGAACACCGGUGGCGAAGGCGGCAUCCUGGACCGGCAUUGACGCUGAGGAGCGAAAGCCAGGGGAGCAAACGGG
This 253-nucleotide ribosomal RNA is filed under the name uncultured bacterium. Its description in RNAcentral is "partial 16S ribosomal RNA". It matches the Rfam family "Bacterial small subunit ribosomal RNA", at positions 524 to 776 of the family's 1533-position model. The record is from RNAcentral.